UACGAAGGGGGCUAGCGUUGUUCGGAAUUACUGGGCGUAAAGCGUAUGUAGGCGGAUCGUUAAGUCGGGGGUGAAAUCCCGAGGCUCAACCUCGGAACUGCCUUCGAUACUGGCGAUCUUCGAGUCCGGGAGAGGUGAGUGGAACUCCGAGUGUAGAGGUGAAAUUCGUAGAUAUUCGCAAGAACACCAGUGGCGAAGGCGGCUCACUGGCCCGAUACUGACGCUGAGGUGCGAAAGCGUGGGGAGCAAACAGG
Molecule: ribosomal RNA, 254 nt
Filed under: uncultured bacterium
Lineage: Bacteria
Description: partial 16S ribosomal RNA
Rfam family: Bacterial small subunit ribosomal RNA
Source: RNAcentral